UUGCCGCCGGCUGCAGCCUGAGGCCCGGCAGAGGGCAGCGCGGCGCGAGGAGCCGGCGGGAAUCGAGCUCUGAGGGUCCGGGCCCGGAGCGCCCCCGCAGCCACGCACCUCCACUGCAAGGCGAGGGCGAGAGGGAGCCUCCGCGGAACUCCUCCGCCUCCCCUUCUCCCGCGUUUGUCUUCCUGGGACAACCACCUUCAGUCUAGCUAGCGUAGGCCCGGCCAGCCUGAGCGGGUGCCGCAGCCUUUUGGGACGGGAUCCUGGCAGCUUCGCGAUGCCAGGCCAUCUGACCGUCGGCGCCACUGGCACAGGGCAGAGAGAUGCAGGUGGCCCACGGACCGGACCGCAACCAAGAGGUCUAAGGGUUGAGGUCCCAGAUGCGUCAGGGGGAGAAGGCUGAGCUUCCUGCUCCCAGGGAGACCUCCCUGCCCAACAGCCCCCAGAGACACAACAACCUACCUUCCAGCCUUAACUCGAUGGUCCGUCCCUGCCGGGUGCCCCUCACCCCCUUCCUGACCCCAAAGCCAGAUCACCCCCCGGGUUAAAAUUUUUGUUUCGUUUUAACAGCGUGGGGAGGGAAUUCCCCAAAGGAUAGAUUCCUUCCGAUUCCUUCCCGUGCCAGGUUCCAGCCCUCCGUUACCUCCUGCCCCAGGGGAUCUGCCUGACUGGGGGAUGUGGAAUUCUAGGGGUCUGUUGGUGGUGGGCAGAGGGGUGCCCAGGAGGGGGUCAGGUUGUGCCAGUGACGAUUCUGUCUCCCCACCCCACCCCACUCUGCUUACCCCAAAUUCUGCCUGCCUCAGAUCUCAGGGUAGCCUGACUGUUCUGGGCAGGAGCUGGGAAGGGAAUCAUGGGACCCCUGUGCCUGGGGGAGAUGCCUGCAUCCCCACCUGUGGGUGGAGGCCCUCAGGAUCUGACACCCCUGUCCCAACACCAGUUAGCCCUACGCCCUAAUUCACUCCACCCCAUUUUCUCCGGCUGCCUGGCCGGGUUUCUACCUCUCGUCACCGGAGCUGAUCACUGUCAGUUUUGUACAGAUUUAGAAAUAACAAUAAUAAUGAUUCUAGGAAGUGCCCUGAGGGGUUAACGGGGGGCUUGGAGAGAAAGAGAAACGGUGCCAUGUCCCUUGCCCCCCGCCAAAGGAGGUUCUCUUUGAGGCUGAGCCCUUCCCUGGUCCAGUGGGAGGAUAUCAGGGACCCUUGGUUAAAGGAGGAGGCCACAUGGAACAAUCCAGCUUUGGCCAGCUCAGCCAAGGCUGCAGCACAUAAGCCAGGAAAUCAGGUAGCCCAGUGUGAUGGCGAGGAGCCUGGGGGAAGGGUCACCACUGGGCCUUUACCACUAAGACCCAGCGUGUGGGGAAUCAAUGAUUCUCUCUUCCACUUCCCCCACUGGUCCCCACCCCGUCCCCCCACUGGGGGCAGCACAGCCCUACAGCAGCUGCCCCGACUUUGGGCAGACCAUUGCACUGGGUUUUAGUCCCUGCUGUGCUGCACGACUGGGCAAAUGUCUUGCCCCUCUCUGAGCCUCCCUCUGAAACAGAGGCGCGUGGCUCCCCUCCUCCACACUUUAGAGUGGCCAGGAGGGUAAGGAAGAGGGCUGCCCGCUCUUGUCUUCGCACCCUUGUCCCCUGGUCCACCAGAGGGAUGGAGGGGAAGGAUGACAGCGUCUCCUAUGCCCACUUACCCCCAACUCUGAGGCACCUGAGGUAAGGGUGGGGGACUCAGGCCUCUGGCUGCCCACUGUGGGAACCACUGGAAUGUAUCCCCCAACAGGCUCCCCAUCACACCCUGUGCUUUGCCCCAGUUCUUGGAUUUCAGGUCCCUCCACGCCCAUUCUGAGUCUCUGUCCUUCCCCCUUCCCCACCAGGGUUUCCCACCACAGGGUCUGGAAGUGUGUGUGAUGCCCAUUAGGCUGUUAUCAGAAGUCAGAUUAAACAUCAGGGAGUGUUUCCUUGUUUCUGUACCAAGGUGUUGGCUCUGUUCCACGUGGAAGGAGGGGAGGGGUCGCUACAAUACCUGCCUGCUGAGCUGUGUGUGGCAGGAGGGUCACCAAUCCCAAAGCUCAGGUCAGCGAGAUCAAAGGAGAAGAGUU
This 2088-nucleotide long non-coding RNA is filed under the name Heterocephalus glaber (naked mole-rat). RNAcentral describes it as "lncRNA (ENSHGLG00000036810.1)". The record is from RNAcentral. Lineage: Eukaryota; Metazoa; Chordata; Mammalia; Rodentia; Bathyergidae.